RNAcentral lists this ribosomal RNA (1575 nucleotides) under Megacopta punctatissima (Japanese common plataspid stinkbug). RNAcentral's name for it is "partial 16S rRNA". The record is from RNAcentral. Lineage: Eukaryota; Metazoa; Arthropoda; Insecta; Hemiptera; Plataspidae.
UUAUUAAGAGUGUAAAUUUAUUGCUUAUAUUAUUAUUAGUUUUGGUCUUUAAAUUAAAAGAAUUUGACGGUAAUUAUAUCAUUUCAGAGGAACCUGUCCUGUAAUUGAUAAUCCACGUUAAAUUUUACCUUAUUUUUGGUUUGUAUAUCUCUGUCUAUAGAAUGUCUUAUGAGAGUAUUUUCGAUCUUGUUUUGUUAAAUUUUAUGUCAGGUCAAGGUGCAGCUAUAGUAGGGGUGGAGAUGGGUUACAUUUAUUUGCAAUUAUGGAUCUAUAUAUGUAUUUAUAUAAUGAAAUAGGAUUUGAUUGUAAUAUUUAUUAUAUUUUAUUUAUGAUAUUUGCUCUGUAUUAAGUACACAUCGCCCGUCGCUCUCAUUGUUUAAGAUGAGAUAAGUCGUAACAAAGUAGGCCUAUCGGAAGGUGGGCCUGGAAUGAUUUCAGAUUAUGCCUAGGGUUAUUUAUUAUUUACAUUAAUAGAUAUUUGUGCAAUUCAAAUUGAUCUGAUAUUAGGUUUUUUAAUUUAUUUUUUAUUUAUUAUUAUUAUGAUAGAAUUAACUUUUGGUAUUAGUAUAUUUUAUAAAAUAUACAUUUUAAUUUUUAUAGUUUAUUUUACUGUGAGGGUUUAUUAUCUAAAUUGUUUAAAGUAAAAUUUUUUGUUUGUACCUUUUGCAUCAGGGUUUAUUAAAUUAUCUUAUUUAUAAAUAGUUUUCCCGAAAUUAUAGGAGAUAUAUUUGUUUGUUAUUUAUUGUUUUAAAACUAUUAAUUAAAUAAAUAUAGGGGAGAUAUUCUAUUCAACUGUAAAUAUCUGGUUCUCUAAUAAAUGAAUUUAAUUCAGGGUCAUUUACAAUUACUAGAUAAUUACAUUUUGUCUAAUUUAAUUGAUCUAAUAAUAUGGGGGAUUAGCUCUUUGUUAUUUUUAUAGCUUUAAGGUUUAAUUUAUAAGUUUUGUAGGAUUAGUAAUAUUCUUCAUUUAUUUUGUUGUAAUUAUUUUUAUAAAUAUUUAUUUAUUUCAUUCUGGCUUGAAUUUUUAUUAGAGUUUUUAAAUUAAUUUUUAAUUUAAAGUGAUAAUGAUAAAAUUAGUAAUUUUUAUAAUUUAAGUAUAAUAAUUCGGCAAAUAUGAUUCUUACCUGUUUAUCAAAAACAUGUCCUAUUGUUUAUUUAUUUUAGGUCUGGCCUGCUCAAUGAUUAUUAUUUUAAAUAGCCGCAGUAUUUUGACUGUGCAAAGGUAGCAUAAUCAUUUGUCUCUUAAUUGGGGGCUUGUAUGAAUGGUUUGAUAAGGAUUCAACUUUCUUUACUUAAUAUUAAUGAAUUUAAUUUUUGGGUUAAAAAGCUCAAAUAUUUUUAUGGGACGAGAAGACCCUAUAGCAAUUUACUCUAUUUUUGGUGUUUAUUUUUAUUCUUUUUGGAAUUUUUAUCAUUACUAGAGUUUUGUUGGGGUGACAUGAACAUUGUUAUAACUCUUUGUUAUUACUUUUUAUUUAUUUAUAAACAACUGAUCCUUUUUUAUGGCUUAAAAGAUUAAUUUACCUUAGGGAUAACAGCGUAAUUUCUUUGGAGAGUUCAUAUUGAUAAAGAAGU